Molecule: ribosomal RNA, 551 nt
Filed under: uncultured Acaulospora
Lineage: Eukaryota; Fungi; Glomeromycota; Glomeromycetes; Diversisporales; Acaulosporaceae
Description: SSU rRNA
Rfam family: Eukaryotic small subunit ribosomal RNA
Source: RNAcentral
UUGGAGGGCAAGUCUGGUGCCAGCAGCCGCGGUAAUUCCAGCUCCAAUAGCGUAUAUUAAAGUUGUUGCAGUUAAAAAGCUCGUAGUUGAAUUUCGGAAUCUGUCCGUCGGUCGGGCUUCACUGUCCGUACUGGUGUGAUGGGUUUCUACCUUCUGAAUAAUCGGCAUGUCAUUAAUUUGGUGCGCCGGGGAAGCAGGACUGUUACCUUGAAAAAAUUAGAGUGCUUAAAGCAGGCUAUUGCCUGAAUACAUUAGCAUGGAAUAAUGAAAUAGGACGGCAUGGUUCUAUUUUGUUGGUUUCUAGGAUCACCGUAAUGAUUAAUAGGGAUAGUUGGGGGCAUUAGUAUUCAAUUGUCAGAGGUGAAAUUCUUGGAUUUAUUGAAGACUAACUUCUGCGAAAGCAUUUGCCAAGGAUGUUUUCAUUAAUCAAGAACGAAAGUUAGGGGAUCGAAGACGAUCAGAUACCGUCGUAGUCUUAACCAUAAACUAUGCCGACUAGGGAUCGGACGAUGUUAAUUUUUUAAUGACUCGUUCGGCGCCUUACGGGAAAC